Molecule: long non-coding RNA, 818 nt
Filed under: Phasianus colchicus (ring-necked pheasant)
Lineage: Eukaryota; Metazoa; Chordata; Aves; Galliformes; Phasianidae
Description: lncRNA (ENSPCLG00000012829.1)
Source: RNAcentral
ACAAGUAUCAAUAUUUAUACUUCUCUCAGUUGCAAAUGGUGAUGUAAGCAUAUGCAAUUUCAACAGAAAAAAUAAUGUACACAGAGAAUUAAGUCUUUCUAUCUGAAAUGCAGUUUUCCUAAGAUUGAUGAUUAGCAGGUCUUUGUGUAUCCAAUCACCCUUUAAAAAAUACCUCUUGUAAUAGCUUUUGGUACACGGUGGUUCUGACAAAUACUAAACAAGCUAACAGAAAGUAGCAGCUUGUAAGCAGUCAUUCUUGUAGCUAAUUAGGUGAAACUGGAUUCAUAUCUCACCACCUAGAGAUCACAAUGAUUUCAUCUUGGAAAUCUGUGUUAAAAUGAAGAAAGGAGAAUGAAGACAAUCUUGCUCUCACCUUGACUUGACUUUGUGAUCUUUGUCAGAAGACCGGCAGGAGAACCAAACCAGCAGUUCCUUUUCCAUUGACUUUUAGGCUUCUAGCCAGGUUAAAGGAAGGAGGACUUGGUGACUGGCUGCAACUGCGUGUAAUGGCUGAAGGAGGGUGAAAUCUGCACAGAGGUCAGCCCAUCCAGAGCUUCCUAUCCAAGCUGUCUCCAGCAUUUCCUCUUGCUCCUCUGCGCUGGUCCUGAGCUGGAGAAGCAGCAAGGCAAGUACUGGAGCCAGGUAUCACCAGCUCAUACUGAAUGACUUUCUGCAGCUCUGGGGAAGGGGCUUGGAUAUGGGCUCGUACUUGAAAGCGCUUCUCAGGGAAUCAUACAUGACUCAUGUUUGAUCUGCAGUUGCUCUCUCUGAUGGGGCUUUUCAUGUCUGCGGUCUCUACAGACUCUUCCUGUUAUGUG